Molecule: non-coding RNA, 159 nt
Filed under: Candidatus Omnitrophica bacterium CG23_combo_of_CG06-09_8_20_14_all_40_11
Lineage: Bacteria; Pseudomonadati; Candidatus Omnitrophota
Description: 6S RNA
Rfam family: 6S / SsrS RNA
About the family: E. coli 6S RNA was the first non coding RNA to be sequenced, but its function was unknown until recently. It consists of 184 nucleotides that fold into an extended hairpin structure with a large single-stranded internal bulge.
Source: RNAcentral
AAUUCCCUGCCGUGCACGUUGGAUGUGUGAUAAUUGGUGAACUAAUACCAAUUGAAAGGGAGCUUAACUCUCUUGGGGCUUAGGCUCUAAGGGGAGAGCACCCACUUGAAAUGAGACCGGUUCACAACCGUCCACACCAACGGCACAUGCGGGGAUUUU